UUCCUUAAUGAAUCCGGCCUUGAGAAGCUUAUCCACUUCCUUGGCUAUCGCCUUCUGCCUCUCCGGGGCAUGACUCUGGAUUUUUCUUUUGUCAGUCGAUGCUUCGGAUCGACUGCCAGGUGAUGCUCCAUGACUCCCGUGUCAAUCCCCGAUAUGUCUGCUGGAACCCAAGCGAAAACGUCCGCAUUCCUUCGGAGGAAAUCAAUAAGACGCGUCCGCACCUCCUCCCCCAGGUUGGAGCCAAUUAACGCCACAUGCUCCGCGUUCCCAUCAUUCAAAGGGAUUGGUACCAGAUCUUUGAUUGGGCCACCCC
RNAcentral lists this long non-coding RNA (313 nucleotides) under Elaeis guineensis (African oil palm). RNAcentral's name for it is "long non-coding RNA (EGUI_LNC070247)". Lineage: Eukaryota; Viridiplantae; Streptophyta; Magnoliopsida; Arecales; Arecaceae. The record is from RNAcentral.